UCCAGUGAACAGAAAAUGAGUCAAUUUUACCCUCUCAGCAACCGAUGUGCAACAGCCGAGCGCGGUGAGAUAUGUCCACUGCCUCAUCAGCUCUGGCGCUCCACCUCCCCUUUGCUCCCCCAAUCGCCACCACCGCCUCCGCUGCCGCCAUCAAACUCACUUACCCAAUAAGCAGCUCACGGUGGUCAGCAAGUGGUUUGAGGCUCGUAGGUUCUGCUCAUGCAGCAAUUUCAGGAAGCGGACAAGGAACCUUUGAUCCUGAGCUCCGUUCUGUGCUUGAACUCGCCACGAAUUCUGAGUUAUAUGAGCUUGAAAGAAUCCUAUUUGGCCCUAGCUACUUCAGCCCUUUGCUGAAGUCUAUAAUGAGUAGAACCAAUGUUGACUAUGCGAUGGUUGAAGAGGAUCUCCAUAAGCGAGAGGAGUUUUUAACAGUAUUAGAGUCUCGAUUCUUAUUCCUUGCAGCCGAAGCCCGGUCUACGAUAAGGGGUUGGAGGCCAUCAUAUAGGAAUGUCUUACUUACAGUAAGGAAAGAGUUGAACAUUCCUUGCUCGAGCAAAUUGUCAACUGAAGACCUUGAAGCAGAGAUUUUCCUUCAUCUGUUGCGAGACUAUUCAAGUGAAGAAUCAGGAAAUUUCGAGGGCUUGUUGGAGUUCUCUGAGCCAUCUGAUGGUCAACAUAGUCUUCAAUUUGGACUCAGUCAAUGGAAGGUGCAGGCCCUCAGUGCUUUAAAAGUCGGGGCAGCAGAGCUCCGAUCCAUGUUUUUGAAGGGUGGUAGUAUCUUUACUUUGGCGAAGAUUUAUCAGUUGUUAGCUAGAAAGUUAUCUGGGAAGGUGUUCCUAGAAGCUGCCAAGUAUCAGCUAAAAAGGGAUUUUGUUAGAAGGGGAGGACAAUUAGCUGCUAUUAAUCUAGAGUCAGGAGCAGCCCUUCUUGCGGCAAAACAGGGUUUUGCAGGGGCUACAUCAAGAUAUCUUGGUUUAAGAAGCAUGAUGGCUUUGCUUGGCCCAGUGUAUUGACUCUUCCUACACUUGAUUUCUAAAACAUCAUUAUUUCCAGCUUCCCUAUGUUUGCUUUUCUGGUUCGUUUGCGACUUUAUUUCACACACGCCCUCCUACUCAUGGCCGCCGCCACACGGGCUUUGGGGAACAUUUUUGGCAGAUGUUGUCAUUCAAAUGCUCGGAACUGAUUACGCAAGAAUCUUGCGGGCAAUUUAUGCUUUUGCACAGAUCCGUAUCACUGGAACAUAUAGGCUACCGCCUGAUUGCUGAAAGGCUUUACAGUUUGCGAAGAUGCAUCCUUUUCGACAUCCAUCAAAUAGUUCCGGAGCAUGAAAUGGAUCCCAAGCAGCAUUCACACCGAAGGUAAAUGGGGACGGCCUGUCAUCACUUUAACAAGAGACUUGUGUUCAAGAUGAAUUACACUGUCACAGUCUGCUUCUGUUAUUAUUUUUUCAAUGUGUAAUAUACCUAACGUUGAAGCUGAAAAGAUUAUCGACUUCAUGGUAGUUUAUGUAUGCCAUUUUAACAUUAAAAAUUAAUCUCAGAAAAAGAAAUGAAAAGAA
Malus domestica (apple) is the source of this 1558-nucleotide non-coding RNA. NCBI's taxonomy places the organism in Eukaryota, Viridiplantae, Streptophyta, Magnoliopsida, Rosales, Rosaceae. The record is from RefSeq and is a predicted model, not a curated record.